RNAcentral lists this ribosomal RNA (903 nucleotides) under Acinetobacter sp. ND11. RNAcentral's name for it is "bacterial SSU rRNA". It matches the Rfam family "Bacterial small subunit ribosomal RNA", at positions 173 to 1066 of the family's 1533-position model. Lineage: Bacteria; Pseudomonadati; Pseudomonadota; Gammaproteobacteria; Moraxellales; Moraxellaceae. The record is from RNAcentral.
AUACGUCCUACGGGAGAAAGCAGGGGAUCUUCGGACCUUGCGCUAAUAGAUGAGCCUAAGUCGGAUUAGCUAGUUGGUGGGGUAAAGGCCUACCAAGGCGACGAUCUGUAGCGGGUCUGAGAGGAUGAUCCGCCACACUGGGACUGAGACACGGCCCAGACUCCUACGGGAGGCAGCAGUGGGGAAUAUUGGACAAUGGGCGCAAGCCUGAUCCAGCCAUGCCGCGUGUGUGAAGAAGGCCUUUAUGGUUGUAAAGCACUUUUAAGCGAGGAGGAGGCUACUUUUAGUUAAUACCUAGAGAUAGUGGACGUUACUCGCAGAAUAAGCACCGGCUAACUCUGUGCCAGCAGCCGCGGUAAUACAGAGGGUGCAAGCGUUAAUCGGAUUUACUGGGCGUAAAGCGCGCGUAGGCGGCUAAUUAAGUCAAAUGUGAAAUCCCCGAGCUUAACUUGGGAAUUGCAUUCGAUACUGGUUAGCUAGAGUGUGGGAGAGGAUGGUAGAAUUCCAGGUGUAGCGGUGAAAUGCGUAGAGAUCUGGAGGAAUACCGAUGGCGAAGGCAGCCAUCUGGCCUAACACUGACGCUGAGGUGCGAAAGCAUGGGGAGCAAACAGGAUUAGAUACCCUGGUAGUCCAUGCCGUAAACGAUGUCUACUAGCCGUUGGGGCCUUUGAGGCUUUAGUGGCGCAGCUAACGCGAUAAGUAGACCGCCUGGGGAGUACGGUCGCAAGACUAAAACUCAAAUGAAUUGACGGGGGCCCGCACAAGCGGUGGAGCAUGUGGUUUAAUUCGAUGCAACGCGAAGAACCUUACCUGGGCCUUGACAUAGUAAGAACUUUCCAGAGAUGGAUUGGUGCCUUCGGGAACUUACAUACAGGUGCUGCAUGGCUGUCGUCAGCUCGUGUC